GGCCGCCUGGCGUAAUGGCAACGCGUCUGACUACGAUCCUUCUCAGGGUUAAGUUAUCAGGAGAUUGCAGGUUCGACCCCUGCGGUGGUCA
Molecule: non-coding RNA, 91 nt
Organism: Lentinus tigrinus ALCF2SS1-7
Lineage: Eukaryota; Fungi; Basidiomycota; Agaricomycetes; Polyporales; Polyporaceae
Source: the annotation of a GenBank genome assembly